Molecule: ribosomal RNA, 207 nt
Filed under: uncultured bacterium
Lineage: Bacteria
Description: partial 16S ribosomal RNA
Rfam family: Bacterial small subunit ribosomal RNA
Source: RNAcentral
CGCGUAGGCGGCCUGUCAAGUCAGAGGUGAAAGGCCCGGGCUCAACCCGGGAACUGCCUUUGAAACUGGCAAGCUAGAGUCCGAGAGAGGAUGGCGGAAUUCCCAGUGUAGAGGUGAAAUUCGUAGAUAUUGGGAAGAACACCGGUGGCGAAGGCGGCCAUCUGGCUCGGUACUGACGCUGAGGCGCGAAAGCGUGGGGAGCAAACA